GCCUUCCUGGUGUAGUGGUCCUGCACGCUGGACCAUUAUUCCAGAGGUCCGUGGUUCGAUUUCUUGCGAAGGCG
Molecule: transfer RNA, 74 nt
Filed under: Stegodyphus dumicola
Lineage: Eukaryota; Metazoa; Arthropoda; Arachnida; Araneae; Eresidae
Description: tRNA-Asn
Source: RNAcentral